RNAcentral lists this long non-coding RNA (266 nucleotides) under Phoenix dactylifera (date palm). RNAcentral describes it as "long non-coding RNA (PDAC_LNC005067)". Lineage: Eukaryota; Viridiplantae; Streptophyta; Magnoliopsida; Arecales; Arecaceae. The record is from RNAcentral.
AUUUGAUGCUGUUAUAUGAAUUGUCUAGCGAAGGUAUUAAUUACUUACUGGAUUGUUUAGCUCAUUAUACGGUUUAUUACUGUUUUCACAUAUCUGGAGAAUUAGAUUGACUCGGAGAUUUAUGAUGAGAGAGUAAUUAGAGACAAGAUAUAGACAUUUUUAUUUAGAUUAGAUUUUGUUUUAGAUUGAUGAAAGAUUUUUUUUGGUACAAAUUGAUGCAAGAUUUUAGAAUAUUAUUGGUUUUGUAAGACUUAUCAUUUUAUCAU